This 422-nucleotide ribosomal RNA is filed under the name uncultured archaeon. RNAcentral describes it as "bacterial SSU rRNA". It matches the Rfam family "Archaeal small subunit ribosomal RNA", at positions 458 to 880 of the family's 1478-position model. The record is from RNAcentral.
UCAGCCGCCGCGGUAAUACCAGCUCUCCGAGUGGUGUGGACGUUUAUUGGGCCUAAAGCAUCCGUAGCUGGCUGAACAAGUCCCCUGUUAAACCCACCGAUUUAAUCGUUGGCGUGCGGGGGAUACUGCUUGGCUAGGGGACGAGAGAGGCAGACGGUAUUCCCGGGGUAGGGGUGAAAUCCUAUAAUCCCGAGAAGACCACCAGUGGCGAAGGCUGUCUGCUAGAACGCGCCCGACGGUGAGGGAUGAAGGCUGGGGGAGCGAACCGGAUUAGAUACCCGGGUAGUCCCAGCUGUAAACGAUGCAGACUAGGUGUUUGGACGGCCACGUGCCGUUCUAGUGCCGCAGGGAAGCUGUUAAGUCUGCCGCCUGGGGAGUACGAUCGCAAGGUUGAAACUUAAAGGAAUUGGCGGGGGAGCACA